This 253-nucleotide ribosomal RNA is filed under the name uncultured bacterium. RNAcentral's name for it is "partial 16S ribosomal RNA". It matches the Rfam family "Bacterial small subunit ribosomal RNA", at positions 524 to 776 of the family's 1533-position model. The record is from RNAcentral.
UACGUAGGGUGCAAGCGUUAAUCUGAAUUACUGGGCGUAAAGCGUGCGCAGGCGGUUAUGUAAGACCGAUGUGAAAUCCCCGGGCUCAACCUGGGAACUGCAUUUGUGACUGCACAGCUGGAGUGCGGCAGAGGGGGGUGGAAUUCCACGUGUAGCAGUGAAAUGCGUAGAUAUGUGGAGGAACACCGAUGGCGAAGGCAGCCCCCUGGGAUGUGACUGACGCUCAUGUACGAAAGCGUGGGGAGCAAACAGG